Pelobates cultripes (western spadefoot toad) is the source of this 168-nucleotide non-coding RNA. The record is from the annotation of a GenBank genome assembly. NCBI's taxonomy places the organism in Eukaryota, Metazoa, Chordata, Amphibia, Anura, Pelobatidae.
GCAGACACAUUCCAGCCAAUCAGCAGCAGACCCUCCCUCCGAGACCCUCCCACCUCCUGGACAGCAUCCAUUUUACAUUCAUUGUGAAGCUGCAUUCUUAGUGAGCUGUCCAGGAGGUGGGAGGGUCUGGGAGGGAGGGUCUGCUGCUGAUUGGCUGGAAUGUGUCUG